Molecule: ribosomal RNA, 751 nt
Filed under: uncultured bacterium
Lineage: Bacteria
Description: bacterial SSU rRNA
Rfam family: Bacterial small subunit ribosomal RNA
Source: RNAcentral
ACGCUGGCGGCAGGCCUAACACAUGCAAGUCGAGCGGUAGCACGGGAGAGCUUGCUCUCUGGGUGACGAGCGGCGGACGGGUGAGUAAUGUCUGGGAAACUGCCUGAUGGAGGGGGAUAACUACUGGAAACGGUAGCUAAUACCGCAUGACCUCGCAAGAGCAAAGUGGGGGACCUUCGGGCCUCACGCCAUCGGAUGUGCCCAGAUGGGAUUAGCUAGUAGGUGGGGUAAUGGCUCACCUAGGCGACGAUCCCUAGCUGGUCUGAGAGGAUGACCAGCCACACUGGAACUGAGACACGGUCCAGACUCCUACGGGAGGCAGCAGUGGGGAAUAUUGCACAAUGGGCGCAAGCCUGAUGCAGCCAUGCCGCGUGUGCGAAGAAGGCCUUAGGGUUGUAAAGCACUUUCAGCGAGGAGGAAGGCGUUGUAGUUAAUAGCUGCAGCGAUUGACGUUACUCGCAGAAGAAGCACCGGCUAACUCCGUGCCAGCAGCCGCGGUAAUACGGAGGGUGCAAGCGUUAAUCGGAAUUACUGGGCGUAAAGCGCACGCAGGCGGUUUGUUAAGUCAGAUGUGAAAUCCCCGAGCUUAACUUGGGAACUGCAUUUGAAACUGGCAAGCUAGAGUCUUGUAGAGGGGGGUAGAAUUCCAGGUGUAGCGGUGAAAUGCGUAGAGAUCUGGAGGAAUACCGGUGGCGAAGGCGGCCCCCUGGACAAAGACUGACGCUCAGGUGCGAAAGCGUGGGGAGCAAAC